Molecule: ribosomal RNA, 433 nt
Filed under: uncultured bacterium
Lineage: Bacteria
Description: partial 16S ribosomal RNA
Rfam family: Bacterial small subunit ribosomal RNA
Source: RNAcentral
AACGAACGCUGGCGGCAUGCCUAACACAUGCAAGUCGAACGAGACCUUCGGGUCUAGUGGCGCACGGGUGCGUAACGCGUGGGAACCUGCCCUUAGGUUCGGAAUAACUCCCCGAAAGGGGUGCUAAUACCGGAUAAUGUCUUCGGACCAAAGAUUUAUCGCCUUUGGAUGGGCCCGCGUUGGAUUAGCUAGUUGUUAGGGUAAAAGCCUACCAAGGCGACGAUCCAUAGCUGGUCUGAGAGGAUGAUCAGCCACACUGGGACUGAGACACGGCCCAGACUCCUACGGGAGGCAGCAGUGGGGAAUAUUGGACAAUGGGCGAAAGCCUGAUCCAGCAAUGCCGCGUGAGUGAUGAAGGCCUUAGGGUUGUAAAGCGCUUUUACCCGGGAUGAUAAUGACAGUACCGGGAGAAUAAGCUCCGGCUAACUCCGUG